RNAcentral lists this ribosomal RNA (566 nucleotides) under Bacillus subtilis. RNAcentral's name for it is "bacterial SSU rRNA". It matches the Rfam family "Bacterial small subunit ribosomal RNA", at positions 73 to 624 of the family's 1533-position model. Lineage: Bacteria; Bacillati; Bacillota; Bacilli; Caryophanales; Bacillaceae. The record is from RNAcentral.
UGGGAGCUUGCUCCCUGAUGUUAGCGGCGGACGGGUGAGUAACACGUGGGUAACCUGCCUGUAAGACUGGGAUAACUCCGGGAAACCGGGGCUAAUACCGGAUGGUUGUUUGAACCGCAUGGUUCAAACAUAAAAGGUGGCUUCGGCUACCACUUACAGAUGGACCCGCGGCGCAUUAGCUAGUUGGUGAGGUAACGGCUCACCAAGGCAACGAUGCGUAGCCGACCUGAGAGGGUGAUCGGCCACACUGGGACUGAGACACGGCCCAGACUCCUACGGGAGGCAGCAGUAGGGAAUCUUCCGCAAUGGACGAAAGUCUGACGGAGCAACGCCGCGUGAGUGAUGAAGGUUUUCGGAUCGUAAAGCUCUGUUGUUAGGGAAGAACAAGUACCGUUCGAAUAGGGCGGUACCUUGACGGUACCUAACCAGAAAGCCACGGCUAACUACGUGCCAGCAGCCGCGGUAAUACGUAGGUGGCAAGCGUUGUCCGGAAUUAUUGGGCGUAAAGGGCUCGCAGCGGUUUCUUAAGUCUGAUGUGAAAGCCCCCGGCUCAACCGGGGAGGGUC